UCCUACGGGGGGCAGCAGUGAGGAAUAUUGGUCAAUGGGAGAGAUCCUGAACCAGCCAAGCCGCGUGAGGGAAGACGGCCCUAUGGGUUGUAAACCUCUUUUGUCGGAGAACAAAACCCGGGACGUGUCCCGGACUGCGUGUAUCCGAAGAAAAAGCAUCGGCUAACUCCGUGCCAGCAGCCGCGGUAAUACGGAGGAUGCGAGCGUUAUCCGGAUUUACUGGGUGUAAAGGGAGCGCAGGCGGCACGGCAAGCCUGAUGUGAAAGCCCGCGGCCCAACCGCGGGACUGCAUUGGGAACUACCGG
RNAcentral lists this ribosomal RNA (305 nucleotides) under uncultured bacterium. RNAcentral's name for it is "bacterial SSU rRNA". It matches the Rfam family "Bacterial small subunit ribosomal RNA", at positions 337 to 639 of the family's 1533-position model. The record is from RNAcentral.